This 401-nucleotide transfer-messenger RNA is filed under the name Bacilli bacterium. It matches the Rfam family "transfer-messenger RNA". From Rfam's summary of the family: Bacterial tmRNA, also known as 10Sa RNA or SsrA, is named for its dual tRNA and mRNA-like properties. Its role is to liberate the mRNA from a stalled ribosome. The record is from RNAcentral. Lineage: Bacteria; Bacillati; Bacillota; Bacilli.
GGGGAUGUCAAGGCUUCGACAUGAUUAAUUGACGACCAAAGGCAGUGGGGUAUGCCCCUUAUAGCUACGAGGCCGCUUAAAUGCAGACUCAAGAGAAGAUAACGUUAAUUUAGACGAAGCAUUCCUAGUUAACCAGUUAUCAACCCAAAAUCAACUUAACUACAAUUUUGUAGCUUAGGCCUUUGGGUCUCCGGGUGUUAGGGUUUACUACUUACCUUAAUACGUUAUGAUAAGUAGCUAUAUCAGACUGACGCUCAUAGGUUUGAUGAAUCAUUUGAGCUUAGCUAGACUACAGUUGUUCUAAUACUGAAUGUCUAGUGAAGUGCUAAAUUAGAACUAAACUGUAGAAUUUGGUCGAAGAUUCUUUGUGGAAACGGGUUCGAUUCCCGUCAUCUCCACCA